UACACCUGUCAGUGUCAUUUUUUUUUGUCAUUGUGAUUAUUUUUCGAAAUUUGCAGUGUAGUUACCAAAGCAGUAAACUAUGAACACGAGCGAUGUAAUUUCACUUAUGCAAAUGACUGUCGUAUUUGUUUUAAUUUGUGCUGGUUUUAGAAGAAUGAGAUAUAAAAAAUAAUUUAUAAACGUUAUGGUAGAAGAAUGUAAAACUUCUGAUAGCUUCAUUGAUAAAAAUCAAGAAAACAUUUAUAUAAUAUGUUAAACUUGGCCUUGGCAGCGAUGUUACAUGCAUUUCUAUGUGCACGAAAAAUACGGAAGAAUACCACUAUUACUUAAUUGUAAAAUGAAGUUUGUUUAAUCCUAUAUUAAUAUUUGCACUAACAUUUAAAAUUAUGAAAUAAAUAAAUUUUUUGUA
This is a long non-coding RNA of Sitophilus oryzae (rice weevil), 409 nucleotides long. RefSeq lists it as uncharacterized. The record is from RefSeq and is a predicted model, not a curated record. NCBI's taxonomy places the organism in Eukaryota, Metazoa, Arthropoda, Insecta, Coleoptera, Curculionidae. The transcript is spliced from 2 exons.